AGCGAACGCUGGCGGCAGGCUUAACACAUGCAAGUCGAACGGUAAGGCCCUUCGGGGUACACGAGUGGCGAACGGUGAGUAACACGUGGGUGAUCUGCCCUGCACUUCGGGAUAAGCCUGGGAAACUGGGUCUAAUACCGGAUAGGACCACUGCCUGCAUGGGUGGUGGUGGAAAGCUUUUGCGGUGUGGGAUGGGCCCGCGGCCUAUCAGCUUGUUGGUGGGGUGAUGGCCUACCAAGGCGACGACGGGUAGCCGGCCUGAGAGGGUGACCGGCCACACUGGGACUGAGAUACGGCCCAGACUCCUACGGGAGGCAGCAGUGGGGAAUAUUGCACAAUGGGCGCAAGCCUGAUGCAGCGACGCCGCGUGAGGGAUGACGGCCUUCGGGUUGUAAACCUCUUUCAGCACCGACGAAGCGCAAGUGACGGUAGGUGCAGAAGAAGGACCGGCCAACUACGUGCCAGCCGCCGCCGUAA
RNAcentral lists this ribosomal RNA (477 nucleotides) under uncultured bacterium. RNAcentral's name for it is "partial 16S ribosomal RNA". It matches the Rfam family "Bacterial small subunit ribosomal RNA", at positions 28 to 523 of the family's 1533-position model. The record is from RNAcentral.